Molecule: ribosomal RNA, 457 nt
Filed under: uncultured bacterium
Lineage: Bacteria
Description: bacterial SSU rRNA
Rfam family: Bacterial small subunit ribosomal RNA
Source: RNAcentral
GACGAACGCUGGCGGCGUGCCUAACACAUGCAAGUCGAACGGAGCACUUCGGUGCUUAGUGGCGAACGGGUGAGUAACGCGUGAGAAACCUGCCUCUCAGUGGGGGGACAACAGUUGGAAACGACUGCUAAUACCGCAUAAUGUAUUCGGAAGGCAUCUUCUGAAUACCAAAGCUUUAUGUGCUGAGAGAUGGUCUCGCGUCUGAUUAGCUAGAUGGCGGGGUAACGGCCCACCAUGGCGACGAUCAGUAGCCGGUCUGAGAGGAUGAACGGCCACAUUGGGACUGAGAUACGGCCCAGACUCCUACGGGAGGCAGCAGUGGGGAAUAUUGGGCAAUGGGGGAAACCCUGACCCAACAACGCCGCGUGAAGGAAGAAGGCCUUCGGGUUGUAAACUUCUUUUACCAGGGACGAAGAACGUGACGGUACCUGGAGAAAAAGCAACGGCUAACUACGUG